UCAAAGAUUAAGCCAUGCAUGUGUCAGUAUAAGCAACUUGUACGUGUCGAAACUGCGAAUGGCUCAUUAUAUCAGUUAUAAUUUAUUUGAUAAUUGUGGGAAGUUGAUUUUUACUAGAUGGAUAGCCGUAGUAAUUCUAGAGCUAAUACAUGCAAUAUUAAUGCCUGACUCUUCGGGGGAGGGCUGUAUUUAUUAGAGCGAAAACCAGUCAUAAAGAUUGGUGAAUCAUGAUAAACUUGUCGAAUCGCAGUUUACUGCGAUGUAUCAUUGAAAUUUCUGGCCUAUCAACUUGACUUAAGGGUAGAUUCCUUAAGUGGUAUUGACGGGUAACGGAGAAUUAGGGUUCGAUUCCGGAGAGGGAGCCUGAGAGACAGCUCCCACUUCUAAGGAAGGCAGCAGGCGCGCAAAUUACCCAAUCCCAGCCAAGCUGGGGAGGUAGUGACAAAAAAUACCGAUGCGGGGCAGUUUACUGUCUUGCAAUUGGAAUGGCCCAAACGUAAAUGCUUUGGGGAGUAACCAUUAGAGGGCAAGUCUGGUGCCAGCAGCCGCGGUAAUUCCAGCUCUAAUAGUGUAUACUAAAAUUGCUGCAGUUAAAAAGCUCGUAGUUGGAUUCUGGGAAGGGAGGUUGGUGCUGUUAGCCGUGUUGGUGCUUGCCCGUGCGGGCGGGUAGUAUUGGCAGUACAGCGGGUGUUAAGGGGUUCAUGCCGGGUGGCAGGGUUGUGUUUUGGCGGGUACUUCGCUUUGCGUUUGGUGGGGGCUUGUUCGAGUCCUUGCUGGGUGCAGGGUUCUGGUGCUUUAGCCGGGAUGCUUUGUCCUUGUUACUUUAAGUGUGUUCACAACCUGGCAUUGCAGUUGGCUGUUGGUCUCUCGCUGCGGUGCGGGUGUACGGCGCCAAUGCGGUGGGUGCUAGUCUUUCUUCUUUUGAUACAUUUUCCGAAUCAAUGUUCUCCCCUUCAGUGUGGCGAGGGCAUUUGAUCGGAGGGUUUACUUUGAAGAAAAUGGAGUGUUCAAAGCAAGACGUAUACGUCUAGAACACAUUAGCAUGGAAUAAUAAAAUAGGAUAAUGCAGGAGCCUGCAUGUUUUUAUUGGUUUUGUAACCAAAUGGGCAUUUGCGUUAUAAUGAUUAUAAGGGACAGUUGGGGGGCAUGGGUAUUGCAUUGUCAGAGGUGGAAUUCUUAGAUUUAUGCAAGACCAACUAAUGCGAAAGCAUUUGCCAAGGAUGUUUUCAUUAAUCAAGAACGAAAGUUAGGGGAUCGAAGGCGAUUAGAAACCGCUCUAGUCCUAACUAUAAACGAUGCCAACUAGGGAUUGAUGGGUUUUAAUAGCAUUAUAAUUGCUCCUGUCAGGACCUUAUGAGAAAUCAAAGUCUCUGGGUUCUGGGGGGAGUAUGGUCGCAAGGCUGAAACUUAAAGAAAUUGACGGAAGGGCACCACCAGGUGUGGAGCCUGCGGGCUUAAUUUUGACUCAACACGGGGAAACUUACCCAGGUCCCAGACAUGGAAGGAUUGACAGAUUGAUAGCUCUUUUCUUGAUUCCCAUGGGUGGUGGUGCAUGGUCGUUUCUUAGUUGGUGGAGUGAUUUGUCUGGUUAAUUCCGAUAACGAACGAGACCUCAACCUGCUAACUAACCCCUUCAAUUGUAUUGGGUUCGAUGCCUCGUAGGAGGGGUUCGCUGGGUUGCUUUUGGCUUAGCGCAUGGAGGGGAAACUCUUUGUGUGUUAGGUUGGAGGUAGUUUGGCGGGCUUUUAUUCUGCGGGGAUAGGCUCAGGGUGAUUGAAUGAGGCCUUUAUGGUCAGGCGGGUGCGGUUGGCUUGUGCAUGUCUUCGGGUGUGUGCAGGUUGGCUGUAUCCGUUGUGGGUUACUUAGAGGGACAACCAUGGUUUGUACAUGGGCGGAAGUUUGAGGCAAUAACAGGUCUGUGAUGCCCUUAGAUGUCCUGGGCCGCACGCGCGCUACAAUGAUAGAGUCAACAAGUUUUGACGGUAGGUUCGUAGGUUUCUACGGGCAUAUCGUCAAUACCUGAUUCGAAAGAAUAUCUUUAAUUGGGUAAUCUUUUGAACCUCUAUCGUGCUGGGGAUUGAUCUUUGUAAUUAUGGAUCAUGAACGAGGAAUACCUAGUAAGUGCAAGUCAUCAGCUUGCGCUGAUUACGUCCCUGCCCUUUGUACACACCGCCCGUCGCUCCUACCGAUUGAAUGAUCAGAUGAAAUGUUCGGAUUGUGUGGUUGCAGCUGGGGGGGUAACUUCUCAGUAGUGAUCAUGCGAGAAGAAUAGUGAAUCUUAUUAUUUAGA
RNAcentral lists this ribosomal RNA (2290 nucleotides) under Streblomastix sp. ZnStrB. Its description in RNAcentral is "partial small subunit ribosomal RNA". It matches the Rfam family "Eukaryotic small subunit ribosomal RNA". Lineage: Eukaryota; Preaxostyla; Oxymonadida; Streblomastigidae. The record is from RNAcentral.